RNAcentral lists this ribosomal RNA (485 nucleotides) under uncultured bacterium. Its description in RNAcentral is "bacterial SSU rRNA". It matches the Rfam family "Bacterial small subunit ribosomal RNA", at positions 28 to 511 of the family's 1533-position model. The record is from RNAcentral.
GAUGAACGCUAGCGGCAGGCUUAAUACAUGCAAGUCGAACGGUAACAGGUCUUCGGACGCUGACGAGUGGCGCACGGGUGAGGAACACGUACACAAUCUACCUUAUACUGGAGAAUAGCCCCGGGAAACUGGGAUUAAUACUCCAUAGUCUUUAAUGAUCACAUGAGAAAUAAAGUAAAGCUUCGGCGGUAUAAGAUGAGUGUGCGUCCCAUUAGAUUGUUGGUGAGGUAACGGCUCACCAAGUCGACGAUGGGUAGCUGGCGUGAGAGCGCGACCAGCCACACUGGCACUGAGACACGGGCCAGACUCCUACGGGAGGCAGCAGUAGGGAAUAUUGGUCAAUGGACGAAAGUCUGAACCAGCCAUGCCGCGUGGAGGAUGACUGCCCUCUGGGUUGUAAACUCCUUUUAUAUGGGAAGAAACCUCUGGAUUCACUCCAGAGCUGACGGUAUCAUAUGAAUAAGCACCGGCUAACUCCGUGCCAG